Molecule: ribosomal RNA, 1040 nt
Filed under: Vibrio parahaemolyticus
Lineage: Bacteria; Pseudomonadati; Pseudomonadota; Gammaproteobacteria; Vibrionales; Vibrionaceae
Description: bacterial SSU rRNA
Rfam family: Bacterial small subunit ribosomal RNA
Source: RNAcentral
CCGUGCCAGCAGCCGCGGUAAUACGGAGGGUGCGAGCGUUAAUCGGAAUUACUGGGCGUAAAGCGCAUGCAGGUGGUUUGUUAAGUCAGAUGUGAAAGCCCGGGGCUCAACCUCGGAAUUGCAUUUGAAACUGGCAGACUAGAGUACUGUAGAGGGGGGUAGAAUUUCAGGUGUAGCGGUGAAAUGCGUAGAGAUCUGAAGGAAUACCGGUGGCGAAGGCGGCCCCCUGGACAGAUACUGACACUCAGAUGCGAAAGCGUGGGGAGCAAACAGGAUUAGAUACCCUGGUAGUCCACGCCGUAAACGAUGUCUACUUGGAGGUUGUGGCCUUGAGCCGUGGCUUUCGGAGCUAACGCGUUAAGUAGACCGCCUGGGGAGUACGGUCGCAAGAUUAAAACUCAAAUGAAUUGACGGGGGCCCGCACAAGCGGUGGAGCAUGUGGUUUAAUUCGAUGCAACGCGAAGAACCUUACCUACUCUUGACAUCCAGAGAACUUUCCAGAGAUGGAUUGGUGCCUUCGGGAACUCUGAGACAGGUGCUGCAUGGCUGUCGUCAGCUCGUGUUGUGAAAUGUUGGGUUAAGUCCCGCAACGAGCGCAACCCUUAUCCUUGUUUGCCAGCGAGUAAUGUCGGGAACUCCAGGGAGACUGCCGGUGAUAAACCGGAGGAAGGUGGGGACGACGUCAAGUCAUCAUGGCCCUUACGAGUAGGGCUACACACGUGCUACAAUGGCGCAUACAGAGGGCGGCCAACUUGCGAAAGUGAGCGAAUCCCAAAAAGUGCGUCGUAGUCCGGAUUGGAGUCUGCAACUCGACUCCAUGAAGUCGGAAUCGCUAGUAAUCGUGGAUCAGAAUGCCACGGUGAAUACGUUCCCGGGCCUUGUACACACCGCCCGUCACACCAUGGGAGUGGGCUGCAAAAGAAGUAGGUAGUUUAACCUUCGGGGGGACGCUUACCACUUUGUGGUUCAUGACUGGGGUGAAGUCGUAACAAGGUAGCGCUAGGGGAACCUGGCGCUGGAUCACCUCCUUAAACGAUGAU